GGACUACAAGGGUUUCUAAUCCCAUUCGCUCCCCUAGCUUUCGUUCCUCAGCGUCAGUUACAGCCCAGCAAGCCGCUUGCGCCACCGGUGUUCUUCCCAAUAUCUACGCAUUUCACCGCUACACUGGGAAUUCCGCUUGCCUCUACUGCACUCCAGUCAACCAGUAUCCAAUGCGAUACACGAGUUGGGCCCGUGCCUUUUACAUCAGACUUAAUCAACCGCCUACGAACUCUUUACGCCCAAUAAAUCCGGACAACGCUCGCAUCCUACGUCUUACCGCGGCUGCUGGCAC
This 292-nucleotide ribosomal RNA is filed under the name uncultured bacterium. RNAcentral describes it as "partial 16S ribosomal RNA". The record is from RNAcentral.